GCUAAUGUAGCUUAAACCAAAGCAUAACACUGAAGAUGUUAAGAUGUACCCCAAGAAGGUUCCAUAAGCA
This 70-nucleotide transfer RNA is filed under the name Sperata seenghala (giant river-catfish). Its description in RNAcentral is "tRNA-Phe". It matches the Rfam family "tRNA". Rfam says of the family: Transfer RNA (tRNA) molecules are approximately 80 nucleotides in length. Their secondary structure includes four short double-helical elements and three loops (D, anti-codon, and T loops). The record is from RNAcentral. Lineage: Eukaryota; Metazoa; Chordata; Actinopteri; Siluriformes; Bagridae.